RNAcentral lists this ribosomal RNA (858 nucleotides) under uncultured bacterium. RNAcentral describes it as "bacterial SSU rRNA". It matches the Rfam family "Bacterial small subunit ribosomal RNA", at positions 615 to 1471 of the family's 1533-position model. The record is from RNAcentral.
CAANGUAUGCUUUGGAAACUGUUAGACUUGAGUGCAGAAGGGGAGAGUGGAAUUCCAUGUGUAGCGGUGAAAUGCGUAGAUAUAUGGAGGAACACCGGUGGCGAAGGCGGCUCUCUGGUCUGUCACUGACGCUGAGGCUCGAAAGCGUGGGUAGCGAACAGGAUUAGAUACCCUGGUAGUNCACGCCGUAAACGCUGAGUGCUAGGUGUUAGGUCCUUUCCGGGACUCAGUGCCGACGCUAACGCAUUAAGCACUCCGCCUGGGGAGUACGACCGCAAGGUUGAAACUCAAAGGAAUUGACGGGGGCCCGCACAAGCGGUGGAGCAUGUGGUUUAAUUCGAAGCAACGCGAAGAACCUUACCAGGUCUUGACAUCCCGAUGCCCGCUCUAGAGAUAGAGUUUUUCUUCGGAACAUCGGAGACAGGUGGUGCAUGGUUGUCGUCAGCUCGUGUCGUGAGAUGUUGGGUUAAGUCCCGCAACGAGCGCAACCCUUAUUGUUAGUUGCCAUCAUUAAGUUAGGCACUCUAGCGAGACUGCCGGUAAUAAACCGGAGGAAGGUGGGGAUGACGUCAAAUCAUCAUGCCCCUUAUGACCUGGGCUACACACGUGCUACAAUGGUUGGUACAACGAGUCGCAAGCCGGUGACGGCAAGCUAAUCUCUGAAAGCCAAUCUCAGUUCGGAUUGUAGGCUGCAACUCGCUUACAUGAAGUCGGAAUCGCUAGUAAUCGCGGAUCAGCACGCCGCGGUGAAUACGUUCCCGGGCCUUGUACACACCGCCCGUCACACCACGAGAGUUUGUAACACCCAAAGUCGGUGAGGUAACCAUUUAUGGGGCCAGCCGCCUAAGGUGGGANGGA